This 468-nucleotide ribosomal RNA is filed under the name uncultured bacterium. RNAcentral's name for it is "partial 16S ribosomal RNA". It matches the Rfam family "Bacterial small subunit ribosomal RNA", at positions 28 to 507 of the family's 1533-position model. The record is from RNAcentral.
GACGAACGCUGGCGGCGUGCUUAACACAUGCAAGUCGAACGGAAAGGCCCUGCUUUCGUGGGGUGCUCGAGUGGCGAACGGGUGAGUAACACGUGAGUAACCUGCCCUUGACUUUGGGAUAACUUCAGGAAACUGGGGCUAAUACCGGAUAGGAGCUCCUGCUGCAUGGUGGGGGUUGGAAAGUUUCGGCGGUUGGGGAUGGACUCGCGGCUUAUCAGCUUGUUGGUGGGGUAGUGGCUUACCAAGGCGUUGACGGGUAGCCGGCCUGAGAGGGUGACCGGCCACAUUGGGACUGAGGUACGGCCCAGACUCCUACGGGAGGCAGCAGUGGGGAAUAUUGCACAAUGGGCGGAAGCCUGAUGCAGCAACGCCGCGUGCGGGAUGACGGCCUUCGGGUUGUAAACCGCUUUCGCCUGUGACGAAGCGUGAGUGACGGUAAUGGGUAAAGAAGCACCGGCUAACUACGUG